AAAGGCUAACAGGACCAUCUGUCACUUAAGAUUUAUGAGGGUAUCCUUACAGACACAGAAAGUAAAGCUUUUCACAGUGAAGAACCAUAAAACCUUGGCUAACAGUUAAAACAACUGAAUAACCCUUUCAAUGCUGGCUAGAUCCUCCUAGGCAUAUAGUAUCCUAUUCUCCUGUGAUUUUCAAUUGAAAUACAUUUAAACCAACUCAUUAAUCAUUUCCUGGAACCAUCCAAUAAGAAUAAUCUACCAG
This is a non-coding RNA of Pelobates cultripes (western spadefoot toad), 250 nucleotides long. Lineage: Eukaryota; Metazoa; Chordata; Amphibia; Anura; Pelobatidae. The record is from the annotation of a GenBank genome assembly.